This 264-nucleotide ribosomal RNA is filed under the name uncultured bacterium. Its description in RNAcentral is "partial 16S ribosomal RNA". It matches the Rfam family "Bacterial small subunit ribosomal RNA", at positions 90 to 354 of the family's 1533-position model. The record is from RNAcentral.
UCUUAGUGGCGGACGGGUGAGUAACGCGUGGGUAACCUGCCCCAUACCGGGGGAUACCACCUGGAAACAGGUGCUAAUACCGCAUAAGCGCACGGGAGCGCAUGCUCCUGUGUGAAAAACUCCGGUGGUAUGGGAUGGACCCGCGUCUGAUUAGCCAGUCGGCAGGGUAACGGCCUACCAAAGCGACGAUCAGUAGCCGGCCUGAGAGGGUGGACGGCCACAUUGGGACUGAGACACGGCCCAAACUCCUACGGGAGGCAGCAG